This 253-nucleotide ribosomal RNA is filed under the name uncultured bacterium. Its description in RNAcentral is "partial 16S ribosomal RNA". It matches the Rfam family "Bacterial small subunit ribosomal RNA", at positions 524 to 776 of the family's 1533-position model. The record is from RNAcentral.
UACGAGGGGGGCAAGCGUUGUUCGGAAUUACUGGGCGUAAAGGGCGCGUAGGCGGCCCGCUAAGUCGAACGUGAAAUCCCCAGGCUCAACCUGGGAACUGCGUCCGAUACUGGCAGGCUUGAAUCCGGGAGAGGGAUGUGGAAUUCCAGGUGUAGCGGUGAAAUGCGUAGGUAUCUGGAGGAACACCGGUGGCGAAGGCGGCAUCCUGGACCGGUAUUGACGCUGAGGCGCGAAAGCUAGGGGAGCAAACGGG